RNAcentral lists this ribosomal RNA (292 nucleotides) under uncultured bacterium. RNAcentral describes it as "partial 16S ribosomal RNA". It matches the Rfam family "Bacterial small subunit ribosomal RNA", at positions 505 to 796 of the family's 1533-position model. The record is from RNAcentral.
GUGUCAGCAGCCGCGGUAAUACGGAGGGUGCAAGCAUUAAUCGGAUUUAUUGGGCGUAAAGGGCGCGUAGGCGGGAAUGUCAGUCAGAUGUGAAAUCCCGGGGCUCAACCUCGGAACAGCAUUUGAAACUACAUUUCUAGAGGAUAGGCGGAGAAAACGGAAUUCCACAAGUAGCGGUGAAAUGCGUAGAUAUGUGGAAGAACACCGGUGGCGAAGGCGGUUUUCUAGCUUAUUCCUGACGCUAAAGCGCGAAAGCAAGGGGAUCAAACAGGAUUAGAUACCCUGGUAGUCC